Dipodomys ordii (Ord's kangaroo rat) is the source of this 65-nucleotide non-coding RNA. NCBI's taxonomy places the organism in Eukaryota, Metazoa, Chordata, Mammalia, Rodentia, Heteromyidae. The record is from Rfam.
GGUGGCUCAGUGGUAGAGUGCUUGCCUUGCAUGCAUGAGGUCCUGGGUUCGUUUCCUCAGCACCA